CCUACAGCUGCGCACCCGCCAGAAUGGGCGUGUCGGGAUGAGAAAGGCCAAGGCCCCGCAGUGAUGCACAAACGCCACAGGGAUUAGUGCCGGAAUCUACACGAAGGCAGCGUGGACUCUUGACCUUGCAGCGCGGAGUCAUGCAACUCAGAGUCGCCGUUGGACAAGGUGUAGCUUGCCAGGUUUUUGGAAUGAGCCCCUCGCACCGGACCUGAUCUCAGGAUCCUGGUCCUUCGGUGCCAUCUGGUGGUGGCUUUGUUCCAUAGCAGCGGCUACUGUAAGAGGCGCUCAGCCUGGUAUCUCAGUACCAAGGCUGUGCUAAAUUCUCUCUCCCUCUCCCUCUCCCUCUCCCUCUCUCUCUCUUUCUCUCUCUCUCUCCCUCUCUCCUCUCUUUAAUUAAACUCUUGGCACUCUCUGGCCAGUCUUCAAGGGGAAUCAGAUGAAUUCCAGUAUAUGAGCCCGGAAGAGUGAGUGGGGAGAGUUGGCCCCAAAUUCAAAGAUGCAUUCUGAAGUCUCCUGAAGUCUCCUGGAUUCUCAGUCUCCCGCUGAGUUCCAGCGCUCUCACCCUGUAAGAACCCCGCGAUUGGAAGUGUGUUGCCCAUGGCAGAAAUAAAGCGACAUUCAAGUAGGAGCUCAUGAACUGCCUGGCCGCCGCCGCCGGCCUUACAAAGAGAAACCGUCUUAGGUUCACAAUCAUUUAAAGGAGAAGGAUACAGUGAACAAAUCCCACCGGGACUACUUGGCAGUCGAGGUGCCCUGGGCCGCACAGAAAGGCUCACUAUGAAUGUGUCUACUUGGAAGCCGAGGUACAUAAGAGGCUGCUAAGGCGAUGAGCGCUAUGGCCUUGGACAGAGCAGGAAGGAGAGAAAAGAAUGGAUCUCCAAAGCAGAUGGAAAACUCCCGCCUACAUCUGGAUUCCUCUCUUAGUUCUGCACAUAAAAUGAAAAGUAGGGAAUCCCACUUAAGUGGAACUUCAUUGGAGGUUUUGACUUUCAUUCAGACACAUCCCUGAUAGGAACAAAAAGAAGACCUAUAGGAAGUACAUGGAGGACCACUAACAAGAAAUUCUGGUGAAAGAUAGGCUAAGAACCAGGUAACACCAGAAACAAAACAACUCCAGGGUCUUCAGCAGACAUUGACCUUGGACCAUUCAACUCUUAACUGACUUUACUCUUGGAUCAUUAUAAUAAAGAUAUUAUGAUUAUCAUGAUCACA
This is a long non-coding RNA of Onychomys torridus (southern grasshopper mouse), 1215 nucleotides long. RefSeq lists it as uncharacterized. The transcript has 2 exons. The record is from RefSeq and is a predicted model, not a curated record. NCBI's taxonomy places the organism in Eukaryota, Metazoa, Chordata, Mammalia, Rodentia, Cricetidae.